RNAcentral lists this ribosomal RNA (404 nucleotides) under uncultured bacterium. RNAcentral describes it as "bacterial SSU rRNA". It matches the Rfam family "Bacterial small subunit ribosomal RNA", at positions 29 to 434 of the family's 1533-position model. The record is from RNAcentral.
AUUGAACGCUGGCGGCAUGCUUUACACAUGCAAGUCGAGCGGCAGCGCGGGGGCAACCUUGGCGGCGAGCGGCGAACGGGUGAGUAAUGCAUCGGAACGUAUCCUGUAGUGGGGAAUAACUCACCGAAAGGUGAGCUAAUACCGCAUAAGCUCUGAGGAGGAAAAGCGGGGGGACCGAAAGGCCUCGCGCUGCAGGAGCGGCCGAUGUCCGAUUAGCUAGUUGGUGAGGUAAAGGCUCACCAAGGCGACGAUCGGUAGCUGGUCUGAGAGGAUGAUCAGCCACACUGGGACUGAGACACGGCCCAGACUCCUACGGAGGCAGCAGUGGGGAAUUUUGGACAAUGGGGAACCCUGAUCCAGCCAUGCCGCGUGAGUGAAGAAGGCCUUCGGGUUGUAAAGGUACU